This 446-nucleotide ribosomal RNA is filed under the name uncultured bacterium. RNAcentral describes it as "partial 16S ribosomal RNA". It matches the Rfam family "Bacterial small subunit ribosomal RNA", at positions 338 to 795 of the family's 1533-position model. The record is from RNAcentral.
CCUACGGGAGACAGCAGUCGAGAAUCAUUCACAAUGGGGGAAACCCUGAUGGUGCGACGCCGCGUGGGGGAAUGAAGGUCUUCGGAUUGUAAACCCCUGUCAUGUGGGAGCAAAUUAAAAAGAUAGUACCACAAGAGGAAGAGACGGCUAACUCUGUGCCAGCAGCCGCGGUAAUACAGAGGUCUCAAGCGUUGUUCGGAAUCACUGGGCGUAAAGCGUGCGUAGGCUGUUUCGUAAGUCGUGUGUGAAAGGCGCGGGCUCAACCCGCGGACGGCACAUGAUACUGCGAGACUAGAGUAAGGGAGGGGGAACCGGAAUUCGCGGUGUAGCAGUGAAAUGCGUAGAUAUCGAGAGGAACACUCGUGGCGAAGGCGGGUUCCUGGACAUUAACUGACGCUGAGGCACGAAGGCCAGGGGAGCGAAAGGGAUUAGAUACCCUAGUAGUC